AGAGUUUGAUUCUGGCUCAGGAUGAACGCUAGCGGCAGGCUUAACACAUGCAAGUCGAGGGGCAGCGAGAUCAGUGCUUGCACUGAUUGUCGGCGACCGGCGCACGGGUGCGUAACGCGUAUGCAACCUACCCAUUACAGGGGGAUAACACUGAGAAAUCGGUACUAAUACCCCAUAACAUCCAGGGAGGCAUCUUCUUGGGUUGAAAACUCCGGUGGUAAUGGAUGGGCAUGCGUUGUAUUAGUUAGUUGGUGGGGUAACGGCUCACCAAGACCACGAUACAUAGGGGGACUGAGAGGUUAACCCCCCACAUUGGUACUGAGACACGGACCAAACUCCUACGGGAGGCAGCAGUGAGGAAUAUUGGUCAAUGGACGCAAGUCUGAACCAGCCAUGCCGCGUGCAGGAAGACGGCUCUAUGAGUUGUAAACUGCUUUUGUACGAGGGUAAACGCAGAUACGCGUAUCUGUCUGAAAGUAUCGUACGAAUAAGGAUCGGCUAACUCCGUGCCAGCAGCCGCGGUAAUACGGAGGAUUCAAGCGUUAUCCGGAUUUAUUGGGUUUAAAGGGUGCGU
Molecule: ribosomal RNA, 574 nt
Filed under: uncultured bacterium
Lineage: Bacteria
Description: bacterial SSU rRNA
Rfam family: Bacterial small subunit ribosomal RNA
Source: RNAcentral